RNAcentral lists this long non-coding RNA (318 nucleotides) under Elaeis guineensis (African oil palm). RNAcentral's name for it is "long non-coding RNA (EGUI_LNC026123)". Lineage: Eukaryota; Viridiplantae; Streptophyta; Magnoliopsida; Arecales; Arecaceae. The record is from RNAcentral.
UCCUCCUCAUAGCUGUCCACGACGUGGUGAUACACGUUUGGGAUGUGAUAUAAAGUGCCAGAUUUCUUUGUUCCAUGUGGGACAUAAACUGCGAAGAGAACUUUUGGCCUUGUUUUUCAAAGUUUUUCUUGAAGCCAUCUAUUGAUGCGACUGGAUUUACCACCUAAACUAGAAUCAUAUCAAAAACUUCCUAAGGGAAUGGGUUCUAGGCUUCUAGCUUAAAAGCUGAAGCAAUUGGACUGGUUGAUUAGAAUCUGGUGUCUAAUUUGAACUUUAGCCUUUCCACCAUGGUAGGAAAUGUGCACUUUCUGAUUGACC